CGGCCCCGGUAAGCUGUAAGCUGCCCCUUGGCAAUCCCCCUUAACCAGGGUUGAUGGUGACAACAAAGCAGCGAGUGGCAAAUCAGUUACGUCUCACUCUUGUAAGCUGCCCCUUGGCAAUUCCCCUUAACCAGGGUUGAUGGUGACAACUCUUUUUAUGGACGUAACUGGUGAAUAAAAUGGGAACAAAAGUUAUAUGUGCAGUUCAAUUGAAAAAUAUAAAACCAAU
This is a non-coding RNA of Pelobates cultripes (western spadefoot toad), 229 nucleotides long. NCBI's taxonomy places the organism in Eukaryota, Metazoa, Chordata, Amphibia, Anura, Pelobatidae. The record is from the annotation of a GenBank genome assembly.